GGAGCUGUGGCUCAGUAGUAGAGUGCUAGCCUAGCAUGCAUGAAGCCCUAGGUUCGAUUCCUCAGUACCA
This 70-nucleotide transfer RNA is filed under the name Dipodomys ordii (Ord's kangaroo rat). It matches the Rfam family "tRNA". From Rfam's summary of the family: Transfer RNA (tRNA) molecules are approximately 80 nucleotides in length. Their secondary structure includes four short double-helical elements and three loops (D, anti-codon, and T loops). Lineage: Eukaryota; Metazoa; Chordata; Mammalia; Rodentia; Heteromyidae. The record is from Rfam by way of RNAcentral.